Molecule: long non-coding RNA, 1437 nt
Filed under: Monodelphis domestica (gray short-tailed opossum)
Lineage: Eukaryota; Metazoa; Chordata; Mammalia; Didelphimorphia; Didelphidae
Description: lncRNA (ENSMODG00000028509.1)
Source: RNAcentral
AUGCGGCACUGCCCAACUGGACGCGGGCUCUGUGCCCGGCCUGAGGCUCGCCCCCUCCGGCCCUGCAAAGCAUCACGGCGAGCCCCAGAGCAGCUGCCGUCCCAAAGCGCGAUCCCCCGGGGUCAAGGCUCCAGAGAGACCCCUCAAAGCUGCCGGGCUGUUUCUCGAGAGGUCCAGGGCCAGCCAGGCAGCCCUCCUGCCGACAAGCUCUCUCCAACAGCCAGCCGGGCCCUUCCGCGAGGGGAAGGUAAUGCAGGCAGGAAUCACAAACAGCAAGACAAGUACUUGGGAAGCCGAAAUUUAUUUCGUUUCACUGCGAAGCACUCGAACUCGCACUCACCACAGCAGGUAAGCCGUACUAGCUUUAGACUGAGCAGUCGGAGCCUGGCCUCUGGAGGGCUUCCGGUCAGCAGGAGGAAGGCAGGAUCUCUGCAGCCCCAGAAGAAGGCAGGAUCCCUGCAGCUCCAGAGGGCUUCCGGUCAGCAGGAGGAAGGCAGGAUCCCUGCAGCCCCAGAGGGCUUCCGGUCAGCAGGAGGAAGGCAGGAUCCCUGCAGCCCCAGAGGGCUUCCGGUCAGCAGGAGGAAGGCAGGAUCCCUGCAGCCCCAGAGGGCUUCCGGUCAGCAGGAGGAAGGCAGGAUCCCUGCAGCCCCAGAGGGCUUCCGGUCAGCAGGAGGAAGGCAGGAUCCCUGCAGCCCCAGAGGGCUUCCGGUCAGCAGGAGGAAGGCAGGAUCCCUGCAGCCCCAGAGGGCUUCCGGUCAGCAGGAGGAAGGCAGGAUCCCUGCAGCCCCAGAGGGCUUCCGGUCAGCAGGAGGAAGGCAGGAUCCCUGCAGCCCCAGAGGGCUUCCGGUCAGCAGGAGGAAGGCAGGAUCCCUGCAGCCCCAGAAGAAGGCAGGAUCCCUGCAGCCCCAGAGGGCUUCUGGUCAGCAGGAGGAAGGCAGGUUCCCUGCAGCCCCAGAGGGCUUCCGGUCAGCAGGAGGAAGGCAGGAUCCCUGCAGCCCCAGAGGGCUUCCGGUCAGCAGGAGGAAGGCAGGAUCCCUGCAGCCCCAGAAGAAGGCAGGAUCCCUGCAGCCCCAGAGGGCUUCUGGUCAGCAGGAGGAAGGCAGGAUCCCUGCAGCCCCAGAGGGCUUCCGGUCAGCAGGAGGAAGGCAGGAUCCCUGCAGCCCCAGAGGGCUUCCGGUCAGCAGGAGGAAGGCAGGAUCCCUGCAGCCCCAGAGGGCUUCCAGUCGGCAGGAGGAAGGCAGGAUCCCUGCAGCCCCAGAGGGCUUCCGGUCGACAGGAGGAAGGCAGGAUCUCUGCUGCCCCAGAGGAAGGCAGGAUCCCUGCAGCCCCAGAGGGCUUCCAGUCGGCAGGAGGAAGGCAGGAUCCCUGCAGCCCCGGAGGGCUUCCGGUCAGCAGGAGGAAGGCAGGAUCCCUGCCGCCCCGGAGGGCUUCUGGUAG